RNAcentral lists this ribosomal RNA (681 nucleotides) under Triticum aestivum (bread wheat). RNAcentral's name for it is "partial small subunit ribosomal RNA". The record is from RNAcentral. Lineage: Eukaryota; Viridiplantae; Streptophyta; Magnoliopsida; Poales; Poaceae.
AUGCUAGUCCUUCAGGUCUAUAAAUGGAACCCUCGUCUUCACGUACCACUCACACACACAACACACGAGAAAGACAGAGCGAGCAAGAAUCUGUCCCUAUUCCUCAUAGAGACGGCCAUGGCCAUUCCUCCUAAAAAUGCUCUCUACUUCCUGCUGCUCGUCUCCAGCUUCAUCCUUGGCGCCAUGGCGGAUCUAGCCUUAUCAUGCCCUUCCCGCUGUGAAGUGGAGCUACAAUGGACCUUAUACGCGCGGCAGAUUGGGGGCGGAGCAAACGCGAACCAGGAAGAGAUGGUUCACUCCGUGCACCCCACCACAGGAUUUGGUACGAUCGUCGUCAACAACUGGGAUGUGCUCGACGCGCCUCUGCCUAACGCAGCCAUAGUUGCCCGUGCAAGAGGCACUCACACCAAGGCUGGCCCAGCCGCCGGUGACUGGUUCACUUCUCUCAGCAUAGUCUUCGAGGGAGCCAGGUUCAAUGGGUCGACCUUUCAAGUCAUGGGGAUCACCAAUACAGAUGGUCUGUGGGCUAUUGUUGGCGGUACCAAAGAAUUGUCCAGGGCAGAUGGCACCAUUAAACAUACUCUGUUAAGGGCGACGGCCCUUGAGAACUAUAGACAACUGGAUAUUCGUGCAUUCUAUACCCCGCCUGCGGUUAAUGCAAAUGGUAUUGCUGCCCGGUAA